UAGGGAAUCUUCGGCAAUGGGGGCAACCCUGACCGAGCAACGCCGCGUGAGUGAAGAAGGGUUUCGGAUCGUAAAGCUCUGUUGUAAGAGAAGAACGUGUGUGAGAGUGGAAAGUUCACACAGUGACGGUAACUUACCAGAAAGGGACGGCUAACUACGUGCCAGCAGCCGCGGUAAUACGUAGGUCCCGAGCGUUGUCCGGAUUUAUUGGGCGUAAAGCGAGCGCAGGCGGUUUAAUAAGUCUGAAGUUAAAGGCAGUGGCUUACCCCUUGUUCGCUUUGGAAACUGUUAAACUUGAGUGCAGAAGGCGAGCGUGGAAUUCCAUGUGUAGCGGUGAAAUGCGUAGAUAUAUGGAGGAACACCGGUGGCGAAAGCGGCUCUCUUGUCUGUAACUGACGCUGAGGCUCGACAGCGUGGGGAGCAAACAGG
Molecule: ribosomal RNA, 429 nt
Filed under: bacterium
Lineage: Bacteria
Description: partial 16S ribosomal RNA
Rfam family: Bacterial small subunit ribosomal RNA
Source: RNAcentral